GACGAACGCUGGCGGCGUGCUUAACACAUGCAAGUCGAACGGAAAGGCCCUGCUUUUGUGGGGUGCUCGAGUGGCGAACGGGUGAGUAACACGUGAGUAACCUGCCCUUGACUUUGGGAUAACUUCAGGAAACUGGGGCUAAUACCGGAUAGGAGCUCCUGCUGCAUGGUGGGGGUUGGAAAGUUUCGGCGGUUGGGGAUGGACUCGCGGCUUAUCAGCUUGUUGGUGGGGUAGUGGCUUACCAAGGCUUCGACGGGUAGCCGGCCUGGGAGGGUGACCGGCCACAUUGGGACUGAGGAAGGGCCCAGACGGCAACGGGGGGCAGCGGUGGGAAAUAUUGCACAAUGGGCGGAAGCCUGAUACAGCAACGCCGCGUGCGGGAUGACGGCCUUCGGGUUGUAAACCGCUUUCGCCUGUGACGAAGCGUGAGUGACGGUAAUGGAUAAAGAAGCACCGGCUAACUACGUG
Molecule: ribosomal RNA, 468 nt
Filed under: uncultured bacterium
Lineage: Bacteria
Description: partial 16S ribosomal RNA
Rfam family: Bacterial small subunit ribosomal RNA
Source: RNAcentral